UGAUCCUGGCUCAGAGCGAACGUUGGCGGCGUGCUUAACACAUGCAAGUCGAGCGAGAAAGCUCUCUUCGGAGAGUGAGUAAAGCGGCGCACGGGUGAGUAACACGUGAGUAACAUGCCUUCAGGUUGGGGAUAACUACCCGAAAGGGUGGCUAAUACCCGAUAAGACUACAGCGGCUUCGGCCGCAGUGGUCAAAGUUCAGGCGCCUGAAGAUUGGCUCGCGGUUCAUUAGGUAGUUGGCGGGGUAAUGGCCCACCAAGCCAAAGAUGAAUAGCUGGUCUGAGAGGAUGAUCAGCCACACUGGGACUGAGACACGGCCCAGACUCCUACGGGAGGCAGCAGUGGGGAAUCUUGCGCAAUGGACGAAAGUCUGACGCAACAACGCCGCGUGUGUGAUGAAGGCUCUCGGGUCGUAAAGCACUGUCAGGAGGGAAGAACGCAGACGGUACCUCCAAAGGAAGCGCCGGCUAACUCCGUGCCAGCAGCCGCGGUAAUACGGAGGGCGCAAACGUUGCUCGGAAUCAUUGGGCGUAAAGCGUACGUAGGCGGCUUAUCAAGUCUGGUGUGAAAGCCCGGGGCUCAACCUCGGAAUGCCACUGGAAACUGGUAAGCUUGAGAGUGAGAGGGGUUAGUGGAAUUUCUGGUGUAGGGGUGAAAUCCGUAGAGAUCAGAAGGAACACCGGUGGCGAAGGCGACUGACUGGAUCACAUCUGACGCUGAGGUACGAAAGCGUGGUUAGCAAACAGGAUUAGAUACCCUGGUAGU
RNAcentral lists this ribosomal RNA (765 nucleotides) under uncultured marine bacterium. RNAcentral's name for it is "bacterial SSU rRNA". It matches the Rfam family "Bacterial small subunit ribosomal RNA", at positions 14 to 794 of the family's 1533-position model. The record is from RNAcentral.